Molecule: long non-coding RNA, 403 nt
Filed under: Homo sapiens (human)
Lineage: Eukaryota; Metazoa; Chordata; Mammalia; Primates; Hominidae
Description: HSALNT0048868
Source: RNAcentral
UGGUGGCCCAGGUGGGAUGGCCCAGGUGGCCCUUACAGGCAGUGAGGGGGAUUGAGAUGCACACUCCCUAGACCUGGGCUUUGCACUCACCACCCCAGCUUCUGGACUUUGCCACAUCCCUCUGCCACACCAUCCCUGGCCACCCUGGGCACAAGGUGUCACUGCCCAGAGGCUCCUUUUCCUUGCCAGUCCUCACCACCCUCUGUCUUCAGCCCACACUGUUCUUCCAUGUUUUAUCGACAACUGUCCAGUGGGGUGGGGGGGCUUCAGGGAAGGAACCAGGGUGCACCCAGCAAUGGUGACCGAGAGUGAGGAAAGGGCUACCGAGACAGAAGCAUUUUGUCUUCCUGCCCUGCCGUCUCCAGAAGCUGUGGCCAGCAGGCUUGGUCACAGGCAGAUGCUG